Molecule: ribosomal RNA, 1416 nt
Filed under: Triticum aestivum (bread wheat)
Lineage: Eukaryota; Viridiplantae; Streptophyta; Magnoliopsida; Poales; Poaceae
Description: partial small subunit ribosomal RNA
Source: RNAcentral
AUGGAAGGAAACCUACUUCAGGGAACAAUUCCAGCAUCAAUGUCACAGAUGAAAGGCCUUCUAGUUCUUGAUGUUUCAAGAAACAACUUGUCCGGGGACAUCCCAGUCUUCCUCGCGGACAUGCAUGGGCUCGUUACCCUGAACAUGCCAUUCAACAAUUUUGAGGGUGAAGUUCCAAAACGUGGAUUAUUUCUGAAUGCAAGUGCAGCUCUCAUUGAAGGGAACUAUGGCUUAUGUGGAGGUAUACCACAAUUCAACUCGCAUACCUGCUCAAAUCAUACACCCAAGAAGUGGUCUCACAAGCUUGUCAUGUUGAUCUCAGUAGGCAGCGCAGUUUUUUGCAUCAUCUUAGUACUAUUUGCACUAUUUGCACGACGGAAAUUGAGAACCAAAUUUACAAAGACAAGACAGGUUCCAUCACUCCAUAGUGGACAGCAUAUGAGGGUUACCUAUGCUGAAUUAGUGAGAGCGACAAGUGGUUUUGCUUCUGAGAGCCUCGUAGGCAGAGGAAGCUUCGGCUCUGUGUACAAAGGAACAAUGAUGAAUGGAGAUCAGGAAGUGAUUGUCGCUGUGAAGGUGCUCAACCUCCAGCAGCGAGGGGCAUCUCAAAGCUUUGUUGCUGAAUGUGAGACUUUAAGAUGCAUCAGACAUCGAAACCUUGUGAAGAUAUUGACUGUCUGCUCAAGUAUUGAUUUCAGGGGUCUAGACUUCAAAGCUCUCAUAUUUGAGUUCAUGCCAAAUGGAAAUCUUGAUCAAAAGCUACACAGCCGUCUCCUGGAAGAUGGGAGGCAUGGGGUGCUCAGUCUCACCCAAAGGAUAGACAUUGCCAUUGAUGUAGCUUCAGCACUCGAAUACCUUCACCACAAUAAGCCAGUGCCAAUAGUUCAUUGUGAUCUUAAGCCAAGCAAUAUUCUCCUCGAUAAUGACAAGGUUGCCCAUGUGGGUGACUUUGGACUUGCAAGGUUCUUGCACCAGGAUGAUACUAGCCUCCCAGAGAUAUCAAGUGGCUGGGCUACAAGAAUGGGAACAAUUGGAUAUGCUGCCCCAGAGUACGGUCAAGGAAAUGAAGCCUCGGUCUAUGGUGAUACCUAUAGCUACGGAAUACUGUUGUUAGAGUUGCUCACUGGUAAAAGGCCAACUGAUGGUGAGUUUCUGCAAGAUCUAAACUUACAUAGCUACGUCGAGAUAGCACUUAGAGACCAAGCCACCAACCUGGUCGAUCUGUGCUUAUUAUCUUCACUGGAGGAAGGGACAAAAAUGCGAGCUGCAUGCAUCAAUUCAGUUCUGCACAUUGGGAUAUUAUGUUCGAAGGAACUGCCAACUGAUCGCAUGCAGAUUGGGGAUGCUACGAGAGAGCUACUGGCGAUCAGAGAUAAGUAUCGCAUGCACCUAUUGAGUAAAGGUGGGUCCAUCUAA